AUACUUAACCUGGCAGGGGAGUUACCAAAGGUGGUUUUCCCAGGGCGAGGCUUAUCCAUUGCACUUCGGGUGUGCUGCCCCCUGUAUUUCCCCAAAUGUGGGAAACUCGACCGCAUAAUUUGUGGCAGUGGGGGACUGCAUUUGAGCUCUCCCCUG
Molecule: small nuclear RNA, 156 nt
Organism: Echinops telfairi (small Madagascar hedgehog)
Lineage: Eukaryota; Metazoa; Chordata; Mammalia; Afrosoricida; Tenrecidae
Gene: U1
Rfam family: U1 spliceosomal RNA
About the family: U1 is a small nuclear RNA (snRNA) component of the spliceosome (involved in pre-mRNA splicing). Its 5' end forms complementary base pairs with the 5' splice junction, thus defining the 5' donor site of an intron.
Source: Ensembl